UUGCUUCAGCACAUACACUAAAGUUGGAACACAGAGAUUAGCACGGCCCUUGAACAAUGAUGAUAUGUAAAUUACUGAAGUGUUCCAUAUUGCU
Molecule: small nuclear RNA, 94 nt
Filed under: Castor canadensis (American beaver)
Lineage: Eukaryota; Metazoa; Chordata; Mammalia; Rodentia; Castoridae
Source: RNAcentral